This 1150-nucleotide long non-coding RNA is filed under the name Equus asinus (donkey). RNAcentral describes it as "lncRNA (ENSEASG00005028827.1)". Lineage: Eukaryota; Metazoa; Chordata; Mammalia; Perissodactyla; Equidae. The record is from RNAcentral.
UAAAUCACAGAAACCUAUCUGCCGUGUAGAGUGCAGCCGUCCUAAUUUUUUCUUGCUGCUGAUGGAGGUGUUGGUGGCAGAGGAUGGGGGUUAGUAAUCCGUUGUGUAUUUGUGAACAUUAGUCCUCUGUACCGUCUGAAGGUGACCAAUGUAUUUGCCAGUCAGACUCCUCAGGAAAUGCUGGUCAGUCUUUGCGUGAUGCAGCAGUGUGAAGCUUUCUAAAUUUCCAAAAGCAACAAUCCUAAUUUGUCAAGAAAUUUGCCUCAGAGUGUGGCAGAACAAAAACCUGUAAACCUGUAGCGCUUUAGUGUAAUUGACAAAAUCAAGGUGCCACCAUUUGCUACCUCUGUGACCUGGGGAAAGACCUAACCUCUCUGCCUUAAUUCCCCUAUCUGUGAAACAGGCUAAUGCUACCCACCGCCGCAAGUUCUUGUGAGGAUUAAAUGGCGUACUGUGUGGCGAGCCCUAAGCACCAUGACUGGUGCAUAGGACUAAUCGAGAAACGCUGAUUCUUGUUACUUGUUAGGUCUUUAAGUCCACUGAUGACAGGAAACUCUUCGGUGGGUCCAGAGACAAGCUGCUGGAAAUCCUGCAUAUUUAUUUUCUAGAAGGAAGUGAGCUGAUUAAGAGAGUGAUCCCUUCAGAGACAUCCUCCCUUUAAAAAACUUUAAAGGACUCCAAAUUAAGCCAUAUCCAUUUCUGGGACCCUAAAGUGGCUCACGAAAGCCAAAGGCCUCUAGCUUAAUGUUAGGUGAUUUCAAAAACCUCGAUACAGGGAGUGCAAAGGUGGAGAGGGCAAUGAGGAAUAAAUUGAGAGAACCUACCAAGUGGUGGGUAGCUCUUUAAUUCCAAGCGUGUUCUAUUCCACUUUGUAUCUUUCCUUAAAAAAAGAAAAUGUGUCUUUUUUGAAAAGAGGUAUUGCUCUCUAUGAAUAUUCAGUGCUUAACAUCUGACUAUGGACCCAUCAUUAGGUCUAGGGUAGCUCGCAACCUGAUUUACAAAUUCGAAAGCGUAAGACAGAUCAACUCAAUUGCUCAAGGCCAUGGAUUUGCACGUUGGAGUGCGCACUGAACAUUUCCUGCCCUUGGACUGGUGUACUGGGCAAUGCUGCUUUUCUAUAAAAAUUUGUUCCUAUCUUGGAUUUAACACA